This 399-nucleotide ribosomal RNA is filed under the name uncultured bacterium. Its description in RNAcentral is "bacterial SSU rRNA". It matches the Rfam family "Bacterial small subunit ribosomal RNA", at positions 30 to 430 of the family's 1533-position model. The record is from RNAcentral.
AUUGAACGCUGGCGGCAUGCCUUACACAUGCAAGUCGAACGGUAACGGGCCUUCGGGUGCCGACGAGUGGCGAACGGGUGAGUAAUGCAUCGGAACGUACCUUUCAGUGGGGGAUAACGUAGCGAAAGUUACGCUAAUACCGCAUAUUCUGUGAGCAGGAAAGCAGGGGAUCGCAAGACCUUGCGCUGAUUGAGCGGCCGAUGUCAGAUUAGCUAGUUGGUGAGGUAAAGGCUCAUCAAGGCGACGAUCUGUAGCGGGUCUGAGAGGAUGAUCCGCCACACUGGAACUGAGACACGGUCCAGACUCCUACGGGAGGCAGCAGUGGGGAAUUUUGGACAAUGGGGGCAACCCUGAUCCAGCCAUGCCGCGUGAGUGAAGAAGGCCUUCGGGUUGGUUAAA